RNAcentral lists this ribosomal RNA (100 nucleotides) under Acanthosepion pharaonis. The record is from RNAcentral. Lineage: Eukaryota; Metazoa; Mollusca; Cephalopoda; Sepiida; Sepiidae.
CAUUGAAACACCAGUUCUCAUAUGAUCACCAAAGUUAAGCAUCAUUGAGCCUGGUCAGUAUCUAGAUGAGUAACCACUUGGGGAUACCAGGUGCUGUAAG